ACCAGAGAGGGUGUGUGUGCCUGCCUGAUGGAAACGUGAGAACAUUAAGCUCAACAAAAGAGUCAUUAAAGGAAGUAUACUUGCAGUUAAUUUUGAGGACAGUCUCGGUGUCCAGAGUCUUCAAAGCACAGUUGAAUAUUUCACAUAGAGCCAGCCCUCAAGGUCACUUGUCCGGGGAGUUGUGCUGAGCCUGGCAGAAACUGGUCUUCAAAUUUGGAAUCGCCAUAAAUCCGCAAUGUGUUUUCCACCAAAGUCCUAGGGUUAAAGGACUGUCAUCUUCACAGCAUCAUCUGUGCCAGCCUAAAAUAACUGCCAUGGGUCUUGGUAAAUGUCACUACUCCUUCAAAAGAGAGCAGAAGAACAGCCAUCAUGCUAAGCUAAAAAAAAAGUUUAUGUAACUAUAAAAUGUCCUGAUAUACACUGAGUAAAGACUUUUCAUUGUG
RNAcentral lists this long non-coding RNA (443 nucleotides) under Rattus norvegicus (Norway rat). RNAcentral's name for it is "long non-coding RNA NONRATT022071". Lineage: Eukaryota; Metazoa; Chordata; Mammalia; Rodentia; Muridae. The record is from RNAcentral.